This 497-nucleotide ribosomal RNA is filed under the name uncultured bacterium. RNAcentral describes it as "partial 16S ribosomal RNA". It matches the Rfam family "Bacterial small subunit ribosomal RNA", at positions 28 to 507 of the family's 1533-position model. The record is from RNAcentral.
GAUGAACGCUGGCGGCGUGCCUAAUACAUGCAGGUCGAGCGAACGGACGAGAAGCUUGCUUCUCUGAUGUUAGCGGCGGACGGGUGAGUAACACGUGGAUAACCUACCUAUAAGACUGGGAUAACUUCGGGAAACCGGAGCUAAUACCGGAUGAUAUUUUGAACCGCAUGGUUCAAAAGUGAAAGACGGUCUUGCUGUCACUUAUAGAUGGAUCCGCGCUGCAUUAGCUAGUUGGUAAGGUAACGGCUUACCAAGGCAACGAUGCAUAGCCGACCUGAGAGGGGGAUCGGCCACACUGGAACUGAGACACGGUCCAGACUCCUACGGGAGGCAGCAGUAGGGAAUCUUCCGCAAUGGGCGAAAGCCUGACGGAGCAACGCCGCGUGAGUGAUGAAGGUCUUCGGAUCGUAAAACUCUGUUAUUAGGGAAGAACAUAUGUGUAAGUAACUGUGCACAUCUUGACGGUACCUAAUCAGAAAGCCACGGCUAACUACGUG